AUAAAAUUAUGAAAUUUUUUUCAGGUAUAUAUUAUUGUUUAAUAUUGUUUAAUUUAUUGCUUGUCAGUCAUUCACAUUUAUUAAAAAUAGUCACUUUAUUAAAUAAUGUGAGAAACUCUAUGUUCUUUGCGAAUAGACCUGAAGAUGAAUUAUGAAAGGAUGUGACAAGUAUCAGUAAUGCAGGAAGACGCAGAGGUAGAUCAAGAAGAGUAAUGAAAAGAGAGGCCUAAAUAAGGAGCAAAUUAUUGGCAUGGGAAAAAUUCCAAUACAAUUUCCUGGUCUGAACACUUCUGUGUUUAGAGGGAAAGAAUUAAUUCAACAGCUGAAACUGCUUGUAAAUCUUGAAAGAAAGCAAAAACUUAUGGAAUUACCACAAAGUCAGACCAGACCAAUGCAAAUAAAAUUAUCGCCAUUGGAAUGUGGUUGGAGGAGUGUUACAAUGGAUGGCAGAAGCAUUGAAUCAGAUCUUAUUGGAAAAGAUACAUUUGAAAGUUUUGAAACCUGGAUUUUGGAAAACAAAAUGAUAACUUGUAUGACCAGUAAUUUAGCACGUAAGACUAGAAUCAAUUCAUUUAUAGUAACUGGGAAUGGAAAUGGAUUGGCUGGAUUUGCGUUAUCAAAAGCCAAAGCAUCCCUAAAGACGAUUAAAAAUAGGGCUGGUCAAAGAUUAAUGUAUAUUUCUACAUAUAAGGAACACACUGUGUUACAUGAUUUCUUUACACAGUUUACAUAGUUUGAGAAUAUAAAAAUAUUGUAAAAAAAUAUUUGUAAAGAAAAUUCAUGAAGGAUAAUGGGCUUGUUUGUCAUCAUGCGAUAAAAGCAUGUUGCGAGAGAAUUGGCAUAAAGGAUAUGUAUACCAAAGUACAAGGAGGAAUGUAAAAGCAUUCUUUGGUUGGUUUAUUGCAAUAGAAAUAUCAACAACUUGCAGAUGAAAAAUGAUAGCAUUUAGUCAAAGUUAAAUCAGAAAAUGGGAAUUAUCCAGUAGUACUUGUUUCACCAGCGCAAAUCAGAAAAUCAGAAGUACCGUCCAAUAAGUCUCUCGAUUUUAUGCAGUAUGUAAUGGACAAAAGAAUGGUGUUGAAAAAGAAGAAAUUACUGCCAUUCUUUACUAAACUUCCGUCUUACAAAAGAAAAUGGAAUGUUGGAUUUGAACGAACGAGAAACUCCGACGAAACGAAAAUACAAUUGUUAGCGAAAUAUGGAAAACUGCAUUUUCUGAUAGAAAAAUAUCCAGAGGCACAAAUAUUUUAUAAACGAAAACCACGCGAAGAUGAAACAAUAGAAUAAAGAAGCCGUAUAAUCAUUGUACUUUUAUGUAUAAACGUUUCACAAAA
RNA transcript from Camponotus floridanus (Florida carpenter ant), 1334 nucleotides. It is a transcript of the gene named 28S ribosomal protein S5, mitochondrial-like, with no coding region annotated. The transcript has 5 exons. The record is from RefSeq and is a predicted model, not a curated record. NCBI's taxonomy places the organism in Eukaryota, Metazoa, Arthropoda, Insecta, Hymenoptera, Formicidae.